This 458-nucleotide ribosomal RNA is filed under the name uncultured bacterium. Its description in RNAcentral is "bacterial SSU rRNA". It matches the Rfam family "Bacterial small subunit ribosomal RNA", at positions 28 to 464 of the family's 1533-position model. The record is from RNAcentral.
GACGAACGCUGGCGGCGUGCCUAACACAUGCAAGUCGAGCGGAGUUUUUCGGAUUGAGACCUUCGGGAGGAUUUCUGAGAAACUUAGCGGCGGACGGGUGAGUAACGCGUGGGCAAUCUGCCUCUUACAGGGGGAUAACACAGGGAAACCUGUGCUAAUACCGCAUAAAACUGCUCUGUGGCAUCACGGAGUAGCCAAAGGAGCAAUCCGGUGAGAGAGGAGCCCGCGUCUGAUUAGCUAGUUGGUGAGGUAACGGCUCACCAAGGCAACGAUAGUUAUCCGGCCUAAGAGGGUGAACGGACACAUUGGGACUGAGAUACGGCCCAGACUCCUACGGGAGGCAGCAGCUAAGAAUAUUCCGCAAUGGAGGAAAACUCUGACGGAGCGACGCCGCGUGGAUGAUGAAGGUUUUCGGAUCGUAAAGUUCUUUAAGUGUGGAAGAAGAUGACGGUAACCCC